AUGUUAUCUGCCGUCCAAAGGACUAGGGGGGUCUUGGAAUCAAGAAUCUUGAAGUUAAGAACAGGUGCCUUCUCAGUAAGUGGCUGUAUAAGUUUUUCAGUUGAGACUGAGGCAACCUGGGCGCAGAUCCUCUGUAGCAAAUAUCUGCAUUCUAAGACUUUGUCGCAGGCGACAGUGAGACCGACUGACUCGCCGUUUUGGAAGGGGCUUAUGAGAGUCAAAGCUGCUUUCUUUAAUAGAACAAAGUUUAGUGUCGGUAAUGGCAACAAUACUCGCUUCUGGGAGGAUACUUGGCUUGGUGAAACGCCGUUGGCGCUUCAGUAUCCGUCCCUGUAUCGUAUUGUGCAGCGACGUGAUGCUCUGGUUGCAACGAUUUUGCAGGCCACUCCCCUUAAUAUUCAGUUUAGGAGGGUGCUUAUUGGCGACCGGUGGGAAGUAUGGCUUCAUUUGGUGAGUAGACGGAUGGAGGUUCAGCUCACUCAUCAGCUCGAUCAGUUGUGUUGGAAGCUUACUAGGUCUGGAGAAUUCACUGUCAAGUCAAUGUAUAUUGAUGUCAUCAACUCUAGUGUUAUUCCUAGCUCCAAACAUGUUUGGAAAGUCAAGGUUCCUUUGAAAAUUAAAGUGUUUAUGUGGUUUGUGCAUAAACAAGUCAUAUUAACAAAAGAUAAUUUGGUUAAGCGCAACUGGACAGGACCUACUAGGUGUAGUUUCUGUGAUCGGGACGAGACUAUCAAGCACCUUUUCUUUGAUUGCCUGUUGGCGAGAGUGUUGUGGCGCACG
Molecule: ribosomal RNA, 780 nt
Filed under: Triticum aestivum (bread wheat)
Lineage: Eukaryota; Viridiplantae; Streptophyta; Magnoliopsida; Poales; Poaceae
Description: partial small subunit ribosomal RNA
Source: RNAcentral